CUGGAAGGUCUGAGAGGCUGGGUCAGAGUCCCAAAAGGCCUGAAACAGAGGUCCCUCAGCUACACAUCUCUGAAAAGUCUCAAAGCAGUUGGGGGAUUCAACCAGGAUGCCGUCUGGGGACCCUCAGAUGUCGGGCCGAAGACCUGCAGUGGCUUUCCAAGGAGUAAACCAGCACGGCUUGCCGGACCAGCCACCCCAAAAAUACUGGAGCAGGGCGCUCGCUUUGUGAGGAAGGCCACACAUCCUGCCCUCAUCCCCGGGUCUGACACGGCACGGUUUACCCAGUCAACACUCACCCCACAUUGCCAUUUUACUGACUCCUGGGGAGGGAGGCAGAUUCAGGUAAGACUACAAGAAUUUCGUCAGCGGUCCUACCAGAAGGCCAUCCUACAGGGGUGACUGCUCCUGAAAUCCACCUGCCGUGCCACCAGACUGUGUGUGUCCUUGUGACCUGUGAGCCAGACCCUGCUGAUCAGAGACUGCAAAAGGGGUAAGCAGAACCCCUCUGUGUUGUGGGGAAAUCACAGCUCCUGCCGCCUUCCCCUGGAUUGUGCCCUUCGAUGCAUGGACACAGACCACAGCCACUGAUUAUCUGGGCUCCUUCACUGGGGCUGCAGGAGGUUUGCAAAGCUCACAAGACCUCUCACCUCACAGAGCGCUAAGAACUACCAUCCAUG
Molecule: long non-coding RNA, 677 nt
Organism: Mustela lutreola (European mink)
Lineage: Eukaryota; Metazoa; Chordata; Mammalia; Carnivora; Mustelidae
Exons: 3
Source: RefSeq, a predicted model, not a curated record